UGGCAACAUUUCUUUUGUUGUCCGAGUUGUAAUUUCAAGAAGCUGCUUUGAGUGUAGACGAUCGGUCUAAGUUCCUUGGAACAGGACGUCAGAGAGGGUGAGAACCCCGUCUUUGGUCGAUUGGAUAUGCCAUAUAAAGCGCUUUCGAAGAGUCGAGUUGUUUGGGAAUGCAGCUCUAAAUGGGUGGUAAAUUUCAUCUAAAGCUAAAUAUUGGCGAGAGACCGAUAGCGAACAAGUAGAGUGAUCGAAAGAUGAAAAGAACUUUGAAAAGAGAGUUAAAUAGUACGUGAAAUUGCUGAAAGGGAAGCAUUGGAAAUCAGUCUUACCUGGGUGAGAUCAGUAGUCUCUUCGCGAGACUAUGCACUCUGAACCUGUGGAAGGUCAGCAUCAGUUUUCGGGGGCGGAAAAACAAUAAGGGAAGGUGGCUUUCCGGGUUCUGCCUGGGGAGUGUUUAUAGCCCUUGUUGNANUACGUCCNCUGGGGACUGANGACUGCGNNUUCNNGCCAAGGAUGCUGACNUAAUGGUUUU
This 529-nucleotide ribosomal RNA is filed under the name Schizosaccharomyces pombe (fission yeast). RNAcentral describes it as "partial large subunit ribosomal RNA". It matches the Rfam family "Eukaryotic large subunit ribosomal RNA", at positions 120 to 641 of the family's 3401-position model. Lineage: Eukaryota; Fungi; Ascomycota; Schizosaccharomycetes; Schizosaccharomycetales; Schizosaccharomycetaceae. The record is from RNAcentral.